UGGCAGCUUAUGCGGAGCCUCCAUUCACUCAUUGCUAAGAUGGGCCUGAUGCCCCAGCUCCCAGGGGUGGCUGUGAGGCUAUCCUGAGAGGAGGUUUGCCAAGUGCUGAGAGCUCAGGGCUCAGUGUGGGGCUCCUGAGCCCCAAGCCU
Ceratotherium simum simum (southern white rhinoceros) is the source of this 149-nucleotide non-coding RNA. The record is from RefSeq and is a predicted model, not a curated record. Lineage: Eukaryota; Metazoa; Chordata; Mammalia; Perissodactyla; Rhinocerotidae.